GUGCUUGCUUCAGCAGCACAUAUGCUAAAAUUGGAAUGAUACAGAGAAGAUUAGCAUGGCCCCUGUGCAAGGAUAACAUGCAAAUUCGUGAAGCGUUCCAUAAAAAA
This 107-nucleotide small nuclear RNA is filed under the name Propithecus coquereli (Coquerel's sifaka). Lineage: Eukaryota; Metazoa; Chordata; Mammalia; Primates; Indriidae. The record is from RNAcentral.